CUGUAAUCGCGUUAGCUAUUGCAGCGGCAUCCUUUUUUAGGCGGCCGAGCCGCCUAAAAAAGAUACAGCGGAAAGAGCGACCCGAU
This 86-nucleotide small RNA is filed under the name Arenibacter nanhaiticus. RNAcentral's name for it is "Arenibacter sp. NH36A Flavo-1 RNA". It matches the Rfam family "Flavo-1 RNA". Lineage: Bacteria; Pseudomonadati; Bacteroidota; Flavobacteriia; Flavobacteriales; Flavobacteriaceae. The record is from Rfam by way of RNAcentral.